This 35310-nucleotide long non-coding RNA is filed under the name Eutrema salsugineum. RNAcentral describes it as "long non-coding RNA (ESAL_LNC000843)". Lineage: Eukaryota; Viridiplantae; Streptophyta; Magnoliopsida; Brassicales; Brassicaceae. The record is from RNAcentral.
CACGUAUCACCUGUAAAGCUGAACUGUUUCAUUUAUAAAAUUAACGGUAUUAAACAUUCAAGUACACAGGUUGCGGCAGACACAUAUAAACACAUACACAUAUCUAUAAUAAUCUUGUUGAGGGUAGCUGAAUUUUAGGACUGUUGGAUAACUAGAAUGAAACUCUACCCCUUGCUGCUAUACAAUAGUUUAAGUUACAGUGCCAGGUUGAGUUUUGUUAUAUGCUGUUUGAUCCUCACUGCACCGAUGCAUGUAUGUUGCAUUUAUAAUUUAUACCAGACAAGAGUUUAAGGUAGCCACCACAUGUACCUUUUCUGUGAAGUUUGUGUGCACAGGUGAACCGUCUCUUCUGGGAAGCGCAAUUCUGGAGUUGCAGAAGGUUACUUCCCCUGAAUUGGGAAACCCCAAGGAAGAUCUUUAUUUAAGUCAUCUAGUAUGUUCAAGACAAACCAUUGAAGCUGACAUACACUUGGGUCUCUCGAAGGCAAUUUUCACUUCAGUUAGUGCUUGGUGUGAUGAUAAACUUCAGGACUACCAUCUACACUUUGGUAAGGUCAGUUCUCAAUUUAUGAUAACGUCCUAAUUUAUUUACAUGAUUUUUCGUAUUCUUUUCAAAUUUGCUGGCCAAAAAUUCUUUUAUCUAUCUCUGGUUAGCAUGCAGUUCUUCUGCCAUAAAUUAUUCUCUUUUCCGCGUAGUCAAGAUCAUUGGAUUUUUGCUACAUCCUAACUGAUCAAAAGAAAGACUUGUUUUCAUCUCUGUUGUAACUUGUAUCAUCAUGUCGAAUUUGUUUUGGCUAUUCUUUCAUGACAUAAUAAACAUUGUUUUUCUAAAAAGCUUCUUCAUCUUCUAUGUCUCCUCAGAACCCUCGUGAUUUUGGAAUGCUUGUAAGCUUGGCAUCAACAGUUGGACUUCCUCCAACUGACUGUACCAGAACUGAGGUUGGUGUUUCUGAUGUUCUCUCUCCUACAUAAAUUUCCAUUUUUGCACAGUAUUUUAUUUCUGUAUAUUUUACAUCUGUUGACUUAUGAAUAUUUAGUUGAAGUUAACAUGUCUUGUACGAGCGCUGCAUGCCGAAAUUCUCCCCCUUCCUAGCAGUUUAAAACUAGCUUUUUCAUCUUGAUGUUGACAUUUGCGUAAUUUUCAUGUGCUUUUCUGCAGUAUUAUUAACUUGCCAGGAGUUGACAUUUUUCUGGCAUGAGUAUAAGUUUUUUGCAUUAAGUGUUUGGCUGUAAUAAGAAAAGCAUUCUUAGUUGGGUAUGGAAAGAGGAAAUGCGUAUAUAUUAUCUAGUGUGUGCUUGGAGGAAUACUCGGAUGAUCAUUGUUGAUAAAUAUCAGUUGCUCUUGCAGCUUAUCAAUCUGGAUACCUUGAGUGAUGAUGUUGGUGAUAAGAUACAAUCCUAUGUGCAGAACUCUAUUAAAGGUGCAUGUGCCAGGGUGAGCUUUUGUCCUUUUACUUGUUUUGCUAUAUUGUAUGAGGCACUUCUGUUAUUUCUCUAUCUUAUGAUGUACACAUAUACAUAAUGUCGGUGUUCUUAGGCUGCACAUUUUGCAUAUGUGAAAUCUCAUGGUGAACGCACGCAUGCUCUAGCUCUGCUUGCAAAUGAACUGAGCGUCAUCGCAAAGGCAGAGAUCAAUGAAUUUGUCCCAGUUUUCUCCAAAUGGUUACCCGAAUGUAUGAUGAUUUCGGCCAUGCUGCUGCAUCGGUUUUAUGGAGAAAGACUGGUUUGUCCCUAAGCAUUUUUAGUACUUAAAGAGAAUUUAGUUUGUCUCUGCUAUAUAUAUAUAUAUAUAUAUAUAUAUAUAUAUAUUUAUGAUUGAUCUUUUGUUCUACUGGAACAGACGCCUUUCCUUGAAGGAGUUUCAUCCCUCUCUGGUGAUGUUAGAAAAGUAGUUCCUGCUGCUUAUAUGUUAGAGGAAGCCUUAACUCAACUGUAUGAUUGUCAUAGCAAACUCAAGUUGCACAAACCUUACCUCCACAAGUUGAAGAAUUACGAGGUCAUUGAAUAGAUAUUUCUUAUACGAAUUGAUUUUGAGAACACAAUUAUAUCACUACUCAGUUUUAUUGUUCCUUAAAUAAGUCAUAUAAGAAACUAUUCAUAUUUGUUUAUUUGCAGAUAGAAAAGGCUGUCAAACCAGUAAUGCUGGACUGGCUUAUCUCUCAACAUGAUCAUAUCUUGCAAUGGACUAAGCGAGCUUUUGAAAUUGAGGUUAUAUAUUCAUGGCAAAAUAUUCACAUGUUGAUUGCUGUUGACAGUUGAUAUACUUUAAAGUAUGUUCAUAAGGGACACAUUCGAUAAAUUAUUUUAAACCUCAUCUGGUCAUGUGAGAAAUCUUUGAAAAAGCUGCAUUAUAUAUAGUUUUUGAAGCAUAAUAUAUACUGAUAAAGUGAAGCUGGAUCCAGGAAGUCAGAAAAUGUAAAAGACUUCACAUCACUUUUCACAACCAAACAAAUCCAUAGCAUGAUGCAGAAAACUUUAUUGUCCAAAAGUUGGAAACAUGGUUUUUAAUUAUAAUGAUUUUUAUAAGCAGGAGUGGGAACCUCUAUCAGUUCAGCAAAGGCAUGCUGCAUCAAUCGUUGAAAUAUUCAGGAUCAUAGAAGAGGUAUACCUACCUACUAUCAUGACAUCAUUAUGCAGAAUAGUGUGCAAACUGUAGGAGCUUAGCAGCAGCCUCAAAAUAUAAAACGAGUUCAGUGUUCGAACACAUUUUUCUUCGCUUAGGGUUGACUCUUGAAUUACAUGUUGGUUUUGUUGAAGCCCUUACUUUACUUCUAGUUCUCUCCAGCAUGGUAUUGCACGCAAUUUAUUUACCGUUUUACUUUCUCUUCUUACUUACUUUGCAGACUGUUUCUCAGCUCUUUGGUUUACAUCUACCUGUUGAUAUCACGCAUCUCCAAGCUCUUCUCUCAUUAAUUUAUCAUAGCUUGGAUACGUAUCUUCAGAGAAUUUCUAAUCAACUAGGUAACGACCAACUCCACAUGUUCUUACAGUUGUUACUGAGUCUUGUUCUUGCACUGCCAUAAAAAAUACUAUUAUAAUUCUUAAAUCUUAUGUCAGAAUCUAGAUUCUCCGCUUGAACAGGCUUUUCUGUGUCUGGUAGAUUACUUGCAACAUAAAGAUAUUUAUGUUGCGUUUCUUUGUAUGGGGUUUGCUUGAAACUAACAUCUGAGUAUAUAUAAAGAACUUCUUGUCCAAAUCCAAAGGUGAAAUAGUAAGCAAUUCUUCUAAAGCAUACUGUGAUGUAUUGACCAUAAACCUAUAUCUGCAGUUGACAAGAAGCUUCUGUAUCCGUCAGCUCCUCCUUUAANNNNNNNNNNNNNNNNNNNNNNNNNNNNNNNNNNNNNNNNNNNNNNNNNNNNNNNNNNNNNNNNNNNNNNNNNNNNNNNNNNNNNNNNNNNNNNNNNNNNGCAUGAGAGGAGUCGCUCGAGUUUGCUGGGCCAGAUAAUAAAAUGGUUAAGAAAUUGGAUGAACUGACAAUACCGAAACUCUGCAUAAGAUUGAAUACGCUCUGUGUAUGUGUAUCCUUGCAAGCUAAAACCUUCAUAUUUUUCCCUGUGAAAACUCAAUAAUAAGAUUCUUUUUCUUUCUAUUCUGUGUUCAUGGAUCAGUAUAUUCAGAAACAAAUAAGUGCAACUGAAGAUGGCAUAAGGAAAUCUUUGACACUUGUCCAAUCAUCUCUAGCCAAGAGAUCAAGUAAGCUCAUCUACUUGAGAUUAGACUUUUUUUCUCUUCAUUUCUGGUUGUUGCCGUUUGUUGAAAUGUGCACUGGCGGAGCCAUUGCAGAUAUCGAGACUGACGAAGCUGAAGAGGAGAAUUCACUGACGCAUAGUGAAGCUGUUGAUGAACUCUUUGCUACUACCUAUGACAGCCUCAGGGAGACCAAUGCCAAUUGCAUAACCAAAACCCGUGACCUAAUUGGUAAGCUAAUACAAAGUCUCGUGUCCGUCUGCAGCAUUUUAAAUUUGAGAUUAACUGAAAAAUCUGUCAAACCGAACCAAUUCUCUGCAACCUUAAGCGUCAGAAAUCAAAUUGUCUAGUUGGAUGACCUUUCUUAUCGACAAAUAAGAUGUAUUGUCAUUUUUAACUGUUUGCAGACGUAUAAAACAACAAGAUAUGCCAUCUUCUGUCUUUAUCAGACAUGCUCGUGAAUAAGCAAUGCAUAUUUAUCAUGUUCCAGUUCUGUUUGCAAACGUACAUAUUCCUCUUUGAUUGUUGUUACCUCAUUAAUGAGAGAGAAUGUUAGAUGGAUUGUAUUUCUUUAAUAUCAUGUUUCUACAUUUAUUGUUUUGUUAACAGGGGCAAGAGUGAUAUUCUGGGAUCUGAGAGAUAUGUUCCUAGUACAGUUGUACAAUGGCACAGUCGAAGGCUCCCGCUUGGAAAGAUUACUCCCUCGCAUUGAUUCUGUAAAAAAAAAAUCAUCUCUUUCCCUGAUUUACCCCUUCCUACUAAGCAUGAACUUACACUGAGAAAUGAAUUGCACAGGUCCUUGAUAAUGUAUGCAGUUUGAGUUAUGAGGACUCGCGAGACAUGGUGGUUUUAAGCAUCUGCCGAUCCGCUUUGGUAACGCUUCUUCUCCCUCACAUGUGUACAAGUUAGAAAACUUCCAAAUUCAUUUGUGCUCACUAAAACUCUAUGCUUAUCUUACAUAGGAAGCUUAUGUUCGAGUAUUACUUGAUGGAGGGCCAACUCGUGCUUUUUCGGAUUCAGACAUCCCUUUGAUGGAAGAAGAUCUCAGUAUUUUGAAGGUGAGUAAUUUACAUUUUUAUUCUGAAUUCUUUACUAUAAUCAAACAAUCAAAGUUUCUUCUGUACCAAAUUUCGAGCUCUAGUAUCUUCGUAUACACACUAUAUUCAAUUAAUUCUAGACAACAGCAUCAUAAAACUAGAAAUUAGGUUCUACUGCUUUGAAGCUGGGUUCUGCAAUCAUUCUUUCCUAUGAGAACCUGGUCUCUAUUCAUGAAUAGGGCAGUUCACUAACCUUUGCCAUGCAUUCUGGUAGGAGUUCUUCAUCGCCGAUGGAGAAGGUCUUCCUCGUUCCCUAGUUGACCAAGAAGCAAAGCAGGCACAAGAGAUUCUCGACCUGUACUCUCUGGAGGUAAAAUUAUAUUUCGUCCACUUGCGAAAUUAGUUUCAUUUCACAGAAAACCUGAGAUACUAAAGUUUUUUCGGAUUAUGUCCGAUCUCGGUUGUAGAGUGAAAUGCUAAUACAGAUGCUAAUGACUGCGAGCGAGUUAAUUAACAUGGGAGUGAGUUCAGAGCAACGUCGCUUGGAGGACGCACAGACACUAGUCAGAGUUCUUUGCCACAAGAAAGACCGAAACGCCUCCAAAUUUUUGAAGCGCCAGUACGAGCUUCCUAUGUCAUCAGGUAACAAGUUGGACUAUCUUUAACUAAGAAAUAAAAAAAUUCAUCAAGAUCAUUACAAGUAGAGCUACAAUUAAUUGUUUUGAACUAAAGGAUUCUGUAACAACAUUGUCAAUAAGUCUAAGAAAACCAUUCCUCUGCUGUUUUUGCAGAGUAUGAAGAUCCAACUUCGAAUCUGCCUGUUUUAUCCGAAAUCGUGAGAAGCACAUCUUCCCGCUGGAGCCAAACGAGCCAGAAUAGUUUCAGCUCCAUCAAGAAGAAGAUUCAAGAAGCAACAUCCGAGAUCAGGAACAACUCAGGAUGGUAGGAUCUGUGUGUUUUGUACCCUCAACUCAGUAUAAUUUGUGAAACAUCUCACAUUGCUCCAAUUUUUCCGCUCGGGGUCAGCCCAAUGACUCGCCUUUUCAAUGGGAAUCAGUGACAGUUUUCCUGCAACUUGGUAAAAUCUUUUCAUUUUCCGAGUUCAAGCCAUGGUCCAUUAUGGUUACUAGAGUUCUUCUCCUCCAUCGGCUCUGACUUGACAUCAGAGCCUUGUUCUCCUUCCCGUAUCUCCUCAUCAUCUUCCUCUGUUGCAGCACCCAACUCCUCGUCUCUUCUAGCUCGCUUCACACCAAUCGAAACCCCAAACAACCUCGGUGUCAAAUCCUCAUCAAGCUUCAAACCAAUCCCUGUUUCUAUCCUAGAAGCCAUUGCCAUGGCUUCACUCAACUCUUGUCUCUCAGGUAAAAGAUCCAACGGUUUCCCUUCCGGUAACAAACUCGCACAAUCCGCUUGACCCGUCGUGAAAUUCGCCAUCAACGAGUAGAUAUUCGCAUACAAUCCUUUAAGCUUCGUCAGCUCUUGGCUCAACUGUACAUUCUCUUUCCUCAACCUCUCGUUCUCCUCGAUCAGCUCCGGCGUAGUGGUGCAGCUCGUCGUCCUCUGAAGAACCGCACCAACCGCCGCCGCUCCUCCGGUGGUCGCGGCUGCAGCCGCAGGUGAUGAGUUAGACGAUAUUACCUGCUCUUCUCCAGAGUUCGACGGAGAUACAGUGUGAGCUAUGGCCGGAACCGCUGCAACUGUAACAGCUGAAGCCGCUACCGCCGCCGCCGCUGCAGCAGCUGCGGCGGCCAUAGCUGGCUGAGAGAUUUUCCGUCGUUGAAUAUCCCGAAGGAGAAUCUUCUCACCUCGACGGAAACAGUCGUUAGAAAACUCCCAACGAUCAGGAACUACUUUUCGAAAUCCCUAAACCAUGUUAAAACCGAAUCUGUGUCACUACCAAAUCAAUAUUAGGAUUGAUUUAAGCUAAAUCGAGAGUUAAAAAAAAAACUCACGUAAGUGUUGAGCUGACGAACAAAACUUGAGAAAUUAUUGUGUUUGAAGUAUUUUGGGAGAAGAUCUCUAGCGAAUUCAGCUGGUCUCCACACGAUGAAAGUUGAUCCAUCUUCGUUCCACGAAAUCAAUUCGUCGUAAACCGGAUCAUCCACAAGCUGAUACGUUUUCGUUAAAAACGGCGUCGGAAUUGACCUCUGCGAAUCUCCACCAACACCACUUCCGCCACCACCACCGCCGCCACAUCCACUACUUCCGCCACUGUUCCCGGCGCUACAACCACCACCGCCGCCGCCAACUCCGGCAACCGUCGGAGUUUCUCCGGUCUGUUCCCCCGGCAUGAGUUUUAGAUCCACACACCUCAAAAAACCUGAACUUUAUUAUUACCAAUAUCCAAAUUAAGAUUAGAUUCGGAAAUAAAAUUGCUGUAACAAAUGAUAGAGAAAAUGAUGGAUUUACCAAUGGAAAUGAGCUAUUUUUGUUUUACUUAUUGUUGUUGCUUGAAGAAAUUUCGAAUCAUGAGAUCCGAAUUACAAAAAAAAAAUAGACGCAGGAGAGAAAAGAGAUGUCUUUAAACCAAAUCCAAAACACUCCAAAAAAAAUUGUUCUCUUUACACCAACCAACAAAAGAGAUUGCCACAAUCCGAAAAGGAGCCCGUGACGAACACACGUUUGAUCUCAAAGCUAGAGAGACAGAGGGAGAUUGUGAUUGAGUUUGUGUCUUUGAAGUUCUAGAAGGUUCUGGCAAAUACGGAUUGAUAAUAAAGAUGAAAUGGAGAGAGGAGAGAGAUGAGAAGACAGAUCGGAAGUUCCAGAAGGAAAGAAAAAAUUGAUUUAAGAAAAAAAAAAAAAAAAAAAAAGAGAUCGAGGAAGAAAAGGGUAAAAUGGGGAUAAAAGUGAAGGGGUCCACAAGAAGGAAAGAGUAUAGGAAUGUGCGAGAAGAGCGUAUGUGGCUUUCCCUCCUUUUCCAGAAGUUUCUUCUUCUUCUUCCUUCUUCUUUACUUACCUUUAUGACCCUGUUUUUAAUUUCAGUAAACGGUAAUAAAUAUAUUGAUAAAUGAUAACAUAUUAUAAUUAAAUGUAAGUGGAAUAAGCUUAGAGUCGAAUUAAUUAUUCGUGAGUUGACUCUCUUUUUUGUUGUUGUUGUUAUGUUACAUUAAUCAUACUUCCAAUAUAGAUAAUGUAGACUAAACUAUUCGUAAUAAAAAAGUGAAAACAAAAAAAAAUAAUUUACCCACAAAAAAAGCCAAAAAAAAACGAUUUCAGUAUAUAAAAGCUCAAUAUACUUACCAACAGUUAUUUUGUAGAGUAUUUCAUGUUUUUAUGACUUGUAUGUGAGAAUCAAUUAAAGCUCAAAAUUAUCUUCGGUAGAUUUUUAUAUAUACUGUAUUUUCAAAGUCAAAAGUUUGAAUAGUAUACUUAACUUGUAUAAAUAUACUUUCUUUAAACAAAAAAGCUAGACCAAAAUGCUUCUACGGUUCUCUGUAAUUUUCUUUUCAAUGUAUUGUUUUAUUAUUUUUAGAAUCAAUUAAUUGAUAUAACGACAACAAUGCAUAGGAUAGAAAAUUCUACUAUAGGUCGAGAAUGGUUUUACGUCUUUUGUAAAAGUGUUUUGUAUUUCAGUGAUGGACGUAUAACUUUUUUACCCUACAUCUUUUUCUUUUUUUUGGCAACCUUUUGUCUAAACUUUUUUAUCACCUAAAAUAUUCAUCAUCAACCAUUAAUUAAAAUCUGUUCUUACUUCUUAGUUGAAGUGUUUGAACGCACUUGUUGUUGCUGUCGUAUUCAAAGUAAGGUUUUUGGUCAGAGUAAAUAUUCAUUGAUAUUUGACCAUGAAAUAUAGAAAUGCAGAACUGAAACGGGCUAGCAUUCAACUAUACUUGCGAGUCAUACAGUCUACAUAGAAAGGCAACGUAAUAUUUAUUUAAACUAUUUUCUAAAAACAAUAAACGUUUAUUGUGAAAACAAUCACUUUUUAUAUAUACAAAAAAAAAGGCAAUUAUCGUCACCAUUCAAAAAUAAAAUAUACAAAUAAUCUAAAAUUUUAACAAAACAUACAAAUCGAAAUAGAUUUGGUUCUUACUGUAUAACCUGUAAAUUACUUAAAUGUUAGAAUAGUUAGUUUUCAUAAUAACUUUGAAGACUGUGUUUUGCAUGUAUAUCUUUUGGUAGAAAAGCACAAGUUUUGUUGAUUACAUUCAGGUUAGUGGAGGCAGAGAGAAGAGUCAAGCUUUCUGUUGGAUAAUUGAUAAAACACCGUAUAUAAAUUAUAAAACUAUGUAAAUAUCAUAUGUAUUCUUUAUUUAUCUUGCUCUUGAUUCAUGGCGACAGUAAUGCUAUUUUGUAAAGCUAUAGGUAUUGGGUUCUAACCAUGAAUAUUAUAAAUGUUACACAUGGUAAUUGUUAGUUAAUUUAGCUAGUUACCAGAUAGGAUAGAGAUGAAUGUGGACUUGUUACAAGCUUGCCAGUUUACCACAAUAUUCAAUAAUAUGCAUGUUUACUUGGUUCAGCCACUAUCUUAAUUCCUUGAUCAAUCACUAUUUUAAUGACACUUCUACUACUUUGGAACACUUGUUAACAUCCUAGAAAAAUCGGUUUGCCACAUAUAUAUGAAGAAUUUUUUUUGCCCAUUUUUUUGGCAAAAAUACGAGGAAGACAAAUCAAUACUUAGCAUACAGUACUUCAGUUUGUUUUAUACAAUGGUCAUGAAUGUACAAAACAACACUUAGUUACUGCAAUAUUCACAUGGUCGUCAACUCGUCAUUUCUUUUUUAGAUCAAACAGGAGUGGAAUAUAAAAACCCUUUACAUGAAAUAAUUACCACAUAAAUCUCUUGCAAAGCUUAUACCCAGAGAAGAGGGUAGAGAGUGUCAAAACCAAGAAAGCAGAGAAAGACAUUGAAGCUGAAACUAUAGAAUUCUUUCUUAUGUUUUUCAUCGCGUCCUCGUUUCUAUGUUGGAUCCACGCAAUUGCCACGGAAGAAGAUGAUACUAGUAGAUAACAUAUAACCUAAUUAGGUUUUACAAAAAAUAAAAUUAGCCCAACUCUUUUAAAUGUUUACUAUAUAUUGACUAUAUACUGUGUACUAUUUCUCUUCUUUUUUGAACUAUAGUAUACUGGAUACUCUUAAUUAAAUAUGCAUAGUAUACUGGAUACUCUUAAUUAAAUAUGCAUUUGAUUGAUAAAUAAUAAGUAUGAUAAAAAAAAAUACCUGAUCAAGAAUGAAGCUGAUGUAAUCGGAGAGAGGCUCAGAGAUUAAAACUCCUCUGUGAGUAAUAUCACAAAUUCCUUUGAAUGUUUGAAGAGAUGUAUACACGAAUCCUGUCACUGCUACACCAAAACAAUACCUACGUACAGAGAUAUUGUUUCUUUUAUGAUAACAUUUUCAAUACUUCUUAAUAUAAAUUAGAUAUAAGAAAAUCAUCCAAUUUUUUUCCUUCACAUUCUUUUCUCUAUAUGUUUACGCUUAACUAUUCAUGGAUAUAGGGACACUUUGGUACUGAACAAGGGCGGACGUAGGAUGAGCAGCAUCCAUGGGGGCAAAUGCCACGGUGCCACCACUACUAUUUCAUUUUAAAUGUAACUAAUUAAGCUAAAAUUUACUGUCCCAUUUCUAUAUAUAUAAAUAUAUUUGGGCUUAAGAGCGCUUUUUUUUGCCCCAUCUUAAUUUCUUCUUCCAUCAAGCACAUCUUGCAAUCUUGCCUCCGCAUUUUAAUUUGUUGCUAAAUAUUAUUCGUUCAGUGUUCUUGUCAUAGAAAAUCCCUAAGUUUUCAUGGUCAUGGAUCUAUAUGCCCACAAGGGUCCCCUAGCCAGUCAUGGUUGUCCAACUCCCGCGCAAAGUUUUAUGUAUCACUUCAUAUAUUUAACAUAUUUUAAAGUAUUUCAUGUAUAUUAAAAGUUUUUUUUUGUGAUAAAGGAAAGAUCGGAUUCGAAACACCCAAGUAAACAGGAGAUGACCACCACCAAACAACAUAGCUGUAAGGCACGUCUAUCCAUGUAUAUUAAAAAAUUAAUAAUUAAAUUUGUCUACAGAUUUUAAGUAGUACUAAAUGUGAAUAACAAUAAAUAAACUCUAUAAGCUUGCAUAGAAAUAACAAAACAAGAUAUCAUAUAAAAAAAUUCUUAAAAAUAACUUAGUAUUAAAAAAUUGAGAAGAGGAUAAGGUUCUUACAAUAGUUCAGGAUGUGAAGCGAAACUCGAGGAGCUCUGAGUCCGAUGUCUCAGUGAAGGCCGAUGAACAUUCACUGCCAGGGAAAGAGCAGAGACAAAACAGAGAACCAAAGUUAUAAACCGGAGAACCAAACCGGAAACAUGAACCGACGCUCGCCGUGAGCUGAACCUCGAAGCCGACGGUGUUACGGAAUAUGCAAAGGAAAACGGCGUUGGAACUGACGGCGUCUGAUGAGAGAUUGGCGACGCCGUCACUGAACUAUCUGACGAACCGUAAGUGAUCACAACUACGGGAUCUUUAUGUUCUUUCAUCAAUAUUCGAGUUUCACAAAAAUAAUUCAAGAGAGACUGAUUUAUAUGAUUCUUUUUCUUAAUUUGAGAUAUAUCUUAUUUAAAGAUGAAAGGGUUGGCUGAUACUGGAUUAAAAAUUUAGAUGAAGUUUCAGCGAAAGUUUGUUAGAAUCUUCGACCUUUCUUCUUCCAUGUUAUAAUCUUAUAAUAUGCAUAAUUGUAUAACUUGUAUGACCAAAAUAUCUAAAUAUAUAUUUAUUAUUCUAGCAUACACUAGAUCUAUUUUAUUACUCAUAUCGAUAUAAAAAUAAUAAUGUAAUUAAUAGAAUUAACCGUAUAUGAUUUUCAUGAAAAAUAUAAAUAAAUGCACAUAUCACAAAUCUAAAACCCAGUAAUUAAUGAGAAAAAGGUCGGACAAAAUAUCAUCGCCAAUAACAAUUACUACAAUUAGAUGACGUUACUUACAUUUGUUUUUCUCAUAUUAAUUUUAUUAGAUGCAUUUAAUUCCUCGUAACAAACUGACAUGCAUUAUGUACAAUAAGGAUUUAGGAGUUUCUAAUCUUCUGGUUAAGCCGAUCCUUACCACAUUAAAAUUCUAGUACUGGAAAAUCGAUCCAAAUAUUAAAACAAGAAAGCAGAACCGACUCGGAUUUAUUUAUAAUGUACAUAAAUCCUUUAAACCAUAACCAAGACGGGAGACAAACAAACAAACAAAAAUCCUCAACCGAUAUCAAAUUAAGCCAAACCAAAAAAAAAACUAGUCAAAAUAUUUCAAAUUGAAUGUACAUUUUGCAAGAAAAUAACGUAACAUCAAUUAUGGUGUUUUAUUUAAUUAAAGACAAAAAAUUCUGAACUGAUACUCAACCAAAAACCAAAUAUGUACUUAUGCAUUAAAGCUACUGGAGCUAUAACUUAUAUCUUGCAUUAUAUAUAAGAAUUGGCAUUUUUUCCAAUCCUUCGACAAAGAAAAAAAACAUCCAAACUAGUAAAAUCAUGAUGAAAACAAAAGAUUUUAUGUUUGUGACAAUUUUGAUUGUGUUAUGUAUGUCGAUAAGUAGCAUCAAUGCGGAAAAAAAGUUUAUAUUCCCUAUCCAGGUCAAGGCAAUUUAGGUAAAGGUUGUGAUCCAAGAUUUCCCACGCCCGAAUGUUAUUUGCCCAAACCAGCAAAUCCAUAUAGCCGAGGAUGUACGCUAAUCAAUAGAUGCAGACGUAUACCUUCGUUGAAGCAAUUUCUGCAAAAACUUCUCCGUGAAUAAUGUAGACACGACGAUGAUUAUUAUAAGAUACAUACUAAAAUGUUACAAAAAAAAAAGAGAUAUGUACUAAAAAAAUGAUAGCUAAAAUUUCAGUUUUUUUUUUUUGUUCACAUUCAUCUCUUUAUUUUACAAAAAAAGGGUGAAAAUUUAUGGUUUAGGAUUCAUUUUGAAUGAUCAAACCGUGAACUUUGAGUUUUCAAAAAGGUAACUUUCGUUCUUUUAUCAAAGAUGAAAGCUAAUAAUUAUAUGAAAAUAUAAAACAACGUAAGCAGCCUUUUUUUGUCGUCGAUCGCAACGUAAGCAGCCUAAAACCCCAAAAUCAAGAUAGUACAAACUUAAAAAAGAAAAUUACUAUGUGUUUGCCAAAAAAAAAAAAAAAUUACUAUGUUUUAAUUCUUAGAGCAUGAACAUCACCGUAUGUAACCGUGUCUCUUGUGAAUAAAAAAUAUUUUUUAAUACAAAUGGGUCUUUAGAAAUUGUAGAGACGUCUCCUAAAUUGAAACCGUAAGAGAUGAUUUUCAAAGAUAGAUGAACUUAUGUGAUUGGCUAUUCAAUUUGGGAGAAAUUUUUUUUUCCUUCCUUCCUCAUUUUCCCCAAAAACAAUUUUUUCUUUGUCUUCUCCGUCAAAAUCGUCGAAGGUGACGACGACGUGUUGGUGGCGAAUCCCUACGGCAUCGUCGACAGUGUUGGGAGGCCCACAGCAGAAGAUCGAGACGCCGACGAUAAUCCCUCUUCUCUUUCGCCUCUGUUAUCAGUUUUCUCUGUCAAAAUCAAUCGGUGAUGAAUCAGUUAAUUUUUGAUCGGUUCGGGAAUUCUAUCUUCAUCGGUUCGGAUUUUUGUUUCUUUCUUCUUCAGAAUUGUUUAGGGAUCGAAUUGGAUGAUUAUUUUAUUUAGAGGUUUCAAUCGGUUUUGGUAAUUUAGGGUUAUGAUUGAUUUGGGCAUCAACUCUAUGAUUAUUUGAUGUCAGGUUAUUUGCUUCGUGGUUUUGAUUAAUGGGUAUGAUUUAGGGUUCUGGUCGAGUGUAUUGACUUCAUCUCUUAUGAAUUGAGUUGUUUGUUGGAUAUAUGGAUUUUGUUAAUUCAAUCAGUGAUGUAGCAAUAUGGUUUUUGUGUUUGUUUAAGUGUCAAUAAGAAAUUGUUUGCUUGAGAUUGAGAUUGUUUGCUUUGAUUCAGAUUAUUUGUUUGAGUUUUUGUUAAGCUUCUCUGAUUUUGUACAUGCAUAAUCGGUUGCAUUAUUUGGAACUAAACUUGGUAUUUAGUUUUCUUUUAAUGCAGCUUAAGGUUAUAUAUCUCAAAAGGCGAAACAGGUGAAACUGGUGGAGCAUUAAAGCAGACGACAAAAGUAAUUCCUGGUAAGCAACCUUCAAACCCUUAAUAGGAUUUAGCAUAAAAAUGUGGCUUUGUAGUUGGUGAUAUAAUAAAGGCUUGUUCAUUUUAGGGAGAUUUGUAGUUGGUAAUGGUAUUAAAGGCUGGGUUAGAUAGGUUUGAAUGCUUCUGUUUAAAGACUUUUAUGUCUCGUCGAUGUUAGUUGGAGUUCAAUGCUUCUUCUUGUUUACUUUGAAUGUUAAGAGACCUUUAUGUCUUUGUUGUUUGCUUUGAAUGCUUGCUUUCAAUUUUUGUUUUCAAUGCUCUUUGUUCCUCUUUAAAACCUGAUCCUUCUUCUCCUUUAAUUCAUAUCCGAAACAAACCCUGCAUCUCUUUCAUUCCCUCUAAACCCUAUCUUCAAAACCUUUUCAUUCCUUCACUUCCAUUCCUUUUUAAUGGAUAUGUCUUCUGCAUAUCCAUAUGCGCAACCCACAAACUUUUUUGACUUGUUGAAUAGUCAACAAGGAACUCCACUUGAUGAUUCCUUUUGUUCACUCGAGCCAUUUCCAAGCUGCAGCACCCAGUCUAUGUUGAUACCGAGUAUCACACAAAGAGUUUAAAAGAUUUUAUUAAUGUUAUAGCUGAACUCAAGAUGAGCUGUCUACAUACCCUUGAGAAUUGAUCAAACCAUUCGUAGUUCUGUUAUUAAAGUUGUGAAUGAUCCCUGAAAAAGAGGAGUCUCUUCUAUUUAUAGGGUUUAGAAUCGGUCUCUCUAGACGAUUUCCUUUUUGUAUUUGGAUUUGGAUUCGGGAAUAUUUCCUUUUCUUGGAUAUGAUUAAAGAAAUAUUCCACAAAGUUCAGAUAUUAAUGCCAAUAUUGUAAAUCGGGCUUUAGAAGCCCAUAGGCUAUUAAUAGGCCGAAUAUCCUUUGGAUAUGAACCAUCGUAAAUCGGGAUCAAUUGGGCCGAUCUCGUUUCAAACCGAGCUAAACCAGGGGUGUGGAGUACACCACCAACAGUCUACACCUCAAGAGAGAAAAGAGAGAGCUGCUUGGACCCCCAGCGACGAUGUCUUACUGAUCAGUUCCUGGUUAAAUACCAGUAAAUAUCCAGUAGUUGGAAACGAGCAGAAGAGUAGAGCUUUCCGGAAGAAGAUAGCAGCUUAUUAUGCUGCAAGUCCAAAUGCAGAGGGUCGUGUACUGCGAAUGGCAAGCCAGUGCAAGCAGAGGUGUCACAAGAUCAAUGAUCAUGUGUGUAAGUUCUGCGUUGCGUAUGACUCUGCAACAAGAGAGAAGGCUAGUGGCCAGAACGAGAACGACGUGCUUAAACUUGCUCACCAGAUUUUCUUCAGUAAUCACAAGAAGAAAUUUAACUUUGAACACGCCUGGAAGGAAUUGCGGAAUGACCAAAAGUGGUGUGAUCUUUCCACCAUAAGGGUAAUGCAUCGAGCAAAAGGAGAAGAAGUGAUGAAUUGUUCACCGGGCUCGGUUACAGAACAGAUGAAGACUGUCAAAGUUGAUGUUUCUAGCUCUCGUCCUAUUGGUAUAUUGGUAUGAAGGCUUCAAAAGCCAAAGGAAAAAGAGCUACGGGUGAAGGUAACCCUGUGGCUUAAGCUAUUGCAGACUUUCAAAGGGUGUGGGACGUCAAAGAAAAGGACUUAGCAACAAGGGAAAGACUUUCUAGGAUGAGCGUUCUUGACAGGCUCCUUGCAAAAACAGAAGCUCUGACUGAGGUGGAAUAAGCACUUAAGAAGAAGCUUCUUGGGGAGAUGUUGUCUACUUAGUUAUUUUGGGUUUAUGUUUAGAGUUAAGAUGUGUUAUGGUUUGGCUUUGUUUGUUUUAUGUAUUAGAUUAAGAUGUGUUAUGCUUUAGUUAUGUUCUUGUGUUAUGUAAUUUAUUUCUAUGUUAAGCGACCUUUGUAUUUGGUAAUCUGCUUUAAAAAAUAUGCUAAUGUGAUAUUUGGUUAAGUUACCAUUGUGUAUGUCUUUGGUUAUCUUAGUUUUUACAGCUUAUGUAUGUGUUAUUGUCUUAUGUAGUUGUUAUCUUCGUUAUCUUUGGUUAUCUUGGUUAUGGAUGGUUAUAAAUUUGCUUAUGUAUUUCUUUGAUUGUCUUUGAUUGUGUUUCAGGCCAGAGUUGGAGUAAGUUGGCAGAAAACAACAACACAAGUCAUGUUGGGAGUCACAAGUUGGCAGAAAACAAAAACACUUUUUCACAAGUUGGGUUUAGUCGGCACAAAAGAACAACACAUAGAAAAUAUUUGUAUAGUGUUCAAAAAUUUUUAUGGUUGUAAAUAUGUUGUAUUUUGAGACCACAAGAAUUCUUCUUUAUUUUGCCACCACAAAAUGCAAAGUUGACUCUUCUAUAUAUAGUUUCUACACCAUUUGGUGAUAGCUCAACACAACGCUUUUCUUUCUUAAUUUUUUUGUCUAUCAAGCAAUUCUCCUUUUCUCUUUCAAGCAAUUCUUUUGUUCUUCUCUUAUUAUUUUGUAAACGAUAUCCAAUUAAAACAAAAAAAAACAAUGGCUUCAUCUUCUAAUAAAAAUGGUGAUGAAUCAGUUGAUGAAUAUUUUGAUCACCAAUUUGAUCACCUAUUUGAUCAAGUUUUUUAUCAGAAUAUUCAGAAUCUGUUCAUUGACUAUGGACAACAUCAAGAGGCAUCCAAUUCAAGAAAAAAAAGAGCUUUCAUUGAAAGAAACCAGGAAGAAGGCCAUAUACGUUUAUGGAAUGAUUAUUUCAGUGAAGAUGCAACAUUUCCGGCUUAUCUAUUCCGAUGCCGGUUUAGGAUGAAUAAGUCAUUGUUCAUGAAGAUUGUUGAUCGACUAUCUACUGAAGUUCGAUACUUUCGACAGAAGAACACGCUCUCGGAAGGCCUGGUCUCUCCAGACUUCAGAAAUGUACAUACGCAAUUCGUCUUUUGGCAUACGGAACUGCGGCUGAUACAAUAGAUGAAUACCUCCGGAUUGGUGCUACUACUGCUCGGAACUGUUUGGAAAUUUUUGUCGAAGCAAUCAUAAACUUAUUUGGUGAUGAAUACUUGAGAAGACCCACACCAGAGAAUCUUCAACGGUUACUUGAUUUUGGAGAGCACCGUGGAUUUCCUGGAAUGGUAGGAAGCAUCGACUUUAUGCAUUGGGAGUGGAAGAAUUGCCAUAUCGCGUGGAAAUGGCAAUAUUCACGUGGUGUAGGCAAACCCACAAUCAUUUUAGAGGAUGUAGCAUCAUUUGACAUGUGGAUAUGACAUGCGUUUUUUGGACCUCCAGAUACCUUAAACUAUAUAUUUUUUUUUAUCGCUCACCCAGUUUUGAUGAUAUAAUUCAAGGUAAAGCUCUACAAGUGAAUUUUUUCGUCAACGAAAAGGAGUAUAAUUUGGCAUACUAUCUGACAGAUGAUAUUUAUCCGAAAUGGACAACAUUUAUCUAAUCUAUUCCACUUCCAUAAGACCCAAAAACAUGUUUAUUUGCGGAAAAACAGGAAGCUUCUCAAAAAGAUGUCGAACGUGCUUUUGGAGUCUUGCAAUCUCGGUUUGCCAUUAUCAAAAAUCCAACUCUGUUUUGGGAUAAGGCAAAAAUAGAAAAGAGUAUGAGAGCUUGUAUUAUACUCCACAAUAUGAUAGUAGAAGAUGAAAGAGAUGGAUACACUCUCUUAAAUAUUUCAGAAUUCCAAUACGGAGAAGGAAGCGGAAGUUCAAAUGUGAAUCUCGUGUAUGAAACAGAUACUUCAAAUCUUGAGAAUAGUAUCUUUGCUCGAACAAGAAUUCGUGAUAGAUGACUACAUGAACAACUGAAAGUCGAUUUAAUGGAGUAUAUCUGGCAAAAAAUCGGACAUUUUUAUCAAAAUACCAACUAAAAUUUUUAUCAAAAUUUCUGUUUUAUUUCUGUUCUUGUCUUAAUCUUUGUAAUAAAAUAAUUAUAUUCUUAUAAAUAAAAUAUAUUUUUUAAACAACCCCAAAAAAUUUCUAACAAUGUACAUCUAAAAUAAAUAAAUCUCUUAUAUGAGUCUCUAACCCAAUUUUAUUAUUAAAAAACUACUUGAGAAACCCUAAUGAGUCUCAACAAUGUUCAUAAUCUUAUAUAUAUUUAAUAAUUUAGUUUUAUUUAUUAUUUUCUAUGGACUUUUCUUUUAACUUUUUUAAUGUUUCCUCUCUCAGCGUAGAUAUCUGACACCAAUACCAUCCCCAAUGGUUUUGUUGGGUUACCUGUUGGAUUGUUAGUCUUAUUCUAGCUAUCAAGAUUCUGUAAAAUUCUUUGCACAGUAAAUUAAGGAAAAUGUGUCAUUCUUAUUCUUAUCAAGAAUUUCAGAUAAAACUAGAUACAUUUUCGAAACCCUCAUCUUCUCUUAAUUUCUGUAAGCUUUUUUGGUAACUUUGUAAGCUGAAUAAUGUUAGAGUAUCUUUGUUCAUAAAAAUGAAUUUGUACUUAACUAAUUGCUGACUUUUGGAAGUUAAUCUUCUGUGACUGUUCCACAUAUAAAUCUUUAAGAGUUUCCAGGAGAUUAUUACAUUCUUUUCCAUUUGCUUGGCAGAAUAUUACGAAACCAUUUGCAAAAAAAAAAAAAUUAAUAGAAAUGGGUGGUCUACUUCGACUAGUUCUGAAGCCAUGUAAUGUUAUUUAUAUCGCUUUUUGAAUUAAAAAUGAAUGACCUUUGUUCAAAUUAAAUGUAAGUUAAGUGAGCGAGGAUCUAUCUACACCGUUGAUAUGCAAAACCAAACUAUUUCAGCAUUAAAUGAGAUGAAUGUCAAUUCACCAAAAAAAAAUGAGAUGAAUUUCCAUUUAGCCUUAACAAAUGCUUCUUCUCUUCUUUUUUUUUUUUUGAACUAAUCCUUAUCAAAUGCUUUUGCUAGCUUAAGAACCAUAUAAUUAAUUUGGUUUGCAUGAAUAUAGAAGUUAAUAAACUAGUAAAACAUUAUCAGGGAUGAGUCUUCAUAGAAAAAAGGACACUAAUUCUUCGAUAUUAUUUAAUCUAUAAUUGCAACUGCUGUAUAUCCUUCCGCACAAGAGACUAUGAAGCACUAUUUUACCAAAAAGUAUAUGAAGCAAUACCUGACAAUUUAAAUGUACAAACGAUUUACAACUUUAAUGGUAAAACGUCCAUAUAUGGAUAUAUAUAUAUAUAUAUAUAUAUAUAUAUCAAUAUAGGCGGACGUCGAGGCUCGAAAACUAGGGAAAUUUGGAAGAAUAGAGUUUGGGGUGAUCAAGGUUGACCAAUAAACAGUAUCCGGUAAUCUGAAAUUAUUAUAAUCAUAUAUGGAUAUCUCCUAAAGAAUUAUGAUUAACAUCGUAAUUUCUUCAUUUUUCUCCGAUCUACAAUUAUUAAAAAUAGCGUGCACCACGCAGGAUAGUUAUUUCGUGCAAGAAUGAAAUACUCAAAAUUAUUAUGGACAAUUUUGUUAAGUUGUCAACGAAAUUAGUAAGGCAGAUGUUAAUUCAUCUCUCUCGUUUACUAUAAAUAUAAAGGAAUGCAUAUAUGUCUCUCUAAGAGAACUACAAGUCUAUAUAUCUAACAUACAAAUUAAUGUUAAGAUGAAUGAACAAUACCCUCGAUUUUUGUUAUAAAAGAUUACAAUCUAAAUCUCUACUACUUUAUAAAGGCGUGUAUAAACUCUUAAUUUAUGAUAUAUAUAAGAAAACUAGAAAGUCACUUGUAGUAUAUCCUAAUCCUCAAUACACACCAAUCUAGAAACAAGACUAACGUUAGUCCAUAGUCAAGCCGCCCCUACCUGUCCAUCAUUUUAUAUUUGUAAAAAUGAUGAAACCAAAUUAACAUUCAUUACAUAGAUAACUUCAAAGAUACAAUACUAAUUAAAUAAUAAAAUAAACAAACCAACACAUAACCUCUUACCUCUAUAUAAAAUCCAUAAUACAUAUUAACUAAAGCUCAUACACACAAGUAGUAAAAUAAAAAAAAAUGGCAAACAUCUCACUCUCUACGUUCAUCUUCUCCAUCCUUUUCUUCAUCUCCACCGCGACUGCCGCCACAUUUGAGAUCCUUAACCAAUGUGGUUAUACCGUAUGGGCUGCCGCAAGCCCUGGAGGUGGCCGGCGUCUUAACUCUGGCCAGUCAUGGACGCUAAAUGUCCCAGCGGGAACAUCUAUGGCACGGAUUUGGGGUCGGACCAACUGUAACUUUGAUUCUUCGGGCCGUGGCCGAUGUGAAACUGGUGAUUGCACUGGUGGGCUUCAAUGUACCGGUUGGGGCCAGCCACCAAACACGUUGGCUGAGUAUGCUUUGAACCAAUUCAACAACUUAGACUUCUACGACAUUUCACUUGUCGAUGGAUUUAACAUUCCUAUGGAGUUUAGGUACGAAUAUCACCAUAAUCUUUUCAUAUAUUUGAAUUUUGCCCGAAAAAAAAUUUCUGACCAUAAACGUAAAAAUUUCAAUUUUGAAACUUGAAUUCGACCUAAAUACACCCACAUAUGUUUUUUAAUUACCGGCUGAAAAAAUCAGUGUCGUUAAAAACGAUACUGAGAUAGUACUAAAAAUAUGGUUUGCUGUUAAAACUUACGAUUCAUUUUUAUUUUUCUAACAGUUAGAUAGUAAUUUUUUCUUUAAAAUAAUUGACAAAAUAAUAAAAAACAUACAAAAAAAAACUAAUUUAACUAUAGUACUUGCCUUUUUGUUAUUAACUUUCAUUUAGUGCUUGCCAUUUUAAUGUUGUAGGCAACAUGCAGAAAAUCGCAUAACAAGACAUUUUCUUAAAAAAGCUUUCCCUUAAUUGGUUGAUAUCUCUUUGCUGUUGGAGAAAAAGAAAAUAACCAUGGAAAUAAUUAUUUGUAAAAGUGUUUUGAAUCGAUAAUGCUGAUUUAACCCUUUUCACUCUUUGGGUUUGUAAUUUUGUAUUGUCUCCUCCAGCCCAACAACCUCGAGUUGCCACCGGAUACUAUGUACGGCGGACAUAAAUGGACAAUGUCCGAACGUGUUAAGAGCGCCAGGUGGUUGCAACAACCCGUGCACCGUUUUUCAGACGAACCAGUACUGUUGUACGAAUGGGCAAGGAUCAUGUAGCGAUACAGAAUAUUCAAGGUUCUUCAAACAGAGGUGUCCCGAUGCCUACAGUUAUCCACAAGACGACCCGACCAGCACUUUCACUUGCACGAACACUAACUACAGGGUCGUGUUUUGUCCUAGGGCUAGACUCAGUACCCACCAGCUCCCGAUCCAGAUGGUCACAGAGGAGCAUUAAUUAUCAGACUCUUCUCUAUUGUAUGUGUGUAUGAGCGUGUACUAGUGUGUACGUAGAUAUACAUGUGUACGUAGAUAUAGAUAUAUGCGUAAGCGUGUGAUAAUGUUUACGUGAGUAUCACACUUGAUGGAUAAUAAUGAAUGCAAGAAUAAGUUGGACUCACUUCUCUUUUUCCGGUCAUGCUUUUAUUAACGGGUAAUAAGGAAUAAAACUCUCAGUUUGAUUAUGAUUUUGAUUAGCCGUAGGUUUUUAGGUUUUGUUCUAGGAUUUUAAAUUCUAAAACGUAAUAGAGUUUUUUUUUUUUUUGGGUAAAGAGAUUCUAAAGAUAAGAUAGAACAAGCUAGCAAAAUAUUAGCAAAAAUUGCUCCAAGGAUAACACAAACUUCUUUUAUAAUGUUUCUAUGAUUCUCGAAAUUAAUAUGAAGUAAUGUUUUCCAAUCCUUUUUCUCCAAAAUAAAACAUUUACAAUAUUAUCUCUUUUAGGUAGAUUGUUAAGUUAUCAGCAAAAUCAAGUUUUGAAAGUAGAAUUUUCGGAUUACUAAUAAAAACUUUUGUUUGAGAUUUAAAGAAAACAUCUCAAUUUUUGUUAGCAAAAUUUUCAUGACAGCCUAAUGAGCUCAUUGAUAAGGUCUGCUCUCUUUCUCUUGUCGUGUUUGUGAUUGCUGUCAGACUGCGAGUAGAUUCAAUUCGUGUGAAGGUAUACGAAAAUAUACAUAGUAAAAAGAAAUCCUUACUUUAAUAAUGAAGUUGAUUGACUAAUAAGAGAUCCUUAGUUCAAUAUUUUUUGUUGCGUGCGAAAAACCAUGUCGCCGUGCAGCUUUGAGAAAAAAAUCGUUUAGUAAAACUAAUUAUUUUGGCAUCGUCAUAGCAGUAUAUUUGUAGACUUUUAGACGUCGUUGAUUUGAGUUUAACCUUUUUGAUAUAGGUCUCCAAUUAAUCAAUCAAAAGCUAAGGCAUAUAAAUAUUAAAUAAGCAUAAUCUGUUUGGACCAUUAACAAACAUGUUGUUUCUGUGAUAAAGUAUUCUAAAAGGAUCUAGUGGGUUUUUCAUUGAGUCAUGCGCUUACACGAAUUUCCCUACAUUACGGGUUCUUUAAUGGAUAUCAAGUGGGUUUAGGAAUCGGUUUUUUAGGAUAUAAAUACAUGGCUUAUCACUAUAAGAAAACAUUUGCUUUUAGACGACUAUAUCCGUUGGUAAUCCGUCGGAAAACGCUUUUCCAAACGGAAUUCUGACAAAAACAAGUCGUCGGGAUCAUCUCGUCGGGAAAAAAUAUCCGUCGGAAAUUUAUCGGGUAUCCGACGGAAUACCGAGGACUUCAAUUACUCGACGAAUUUCCGAGGACAAAAAUUUUCCGACGGAUUCCUGACGACGCAACUUUUCUGACGGAUUCCCGAGGACGCAUUUUUCCGACGGAUUCCCGACGGUUUUAUAAACCAAGGAGUUUCUGAUGGUUUUGGUUUUGUCGGAGUUUAAUUUCCGACGAAAAACCGACAAACUUGACGAUUUUUGUUUCCUGACGGAUUUCCGACGUACUCAUUUCCCACGAAUUUCCAACGGUCCUUUUUUUAGUGCCGACGAUUUUCCGACGGUAAAAGAAAAAUCAAAAAAAAAAAAAUUUUAAAACAUUAAUUCAGAGAAAUAAAAUUGUAAAUUAAAUAUAAAUAAAACUGAAAUUUAUAAAUAUAAUGAAAAUAUUUUAACAAUUUUUAAAAUUCAAAUAUUCAAAUAACAAAAAAAAAACAAUAAUCUAGGUUUCUGGAUUUUCCGUUCCCGAACUUCCGAAUCCCGGGAAGUCAGGAAACCUCGCCUUCAUCCAACUUGCCAUGGUUGCGACUUCCGAUCUGGUUGUAGUGAGCUCCGAUUUGGUCGUAGUGAGCUCUUGUUGUGUUGCAUCUAACUUGUGCUCCAAAUCCGCUGCUUUUGCCUUGAGCUCUUCGUUUUGCUCGACGAUAUCUUCGGGAUAAGAAGAAGAACCGAAAGAUUCUUGACUUGAGACAACAUUACCCAAACCACGUCGGCGUCCUUUCUUCAACGGAAGCUCCUGCACAAUUAAAACAAUAAGUUGUUAAUACCAACAGCAAAUGUAGACAAAAAGAAAAUUAAAGGUACACAAACCAAGAAAACUUACUUCGCAAACCAAACGGUUGAUUUCUUCGCGCGACAAAAUGACGGGGGAUGAGGAGUCACGUUGUGACUGUUGACUGCUCUCGAUGGUCUGCGUCACCUUCUCAUAAAUUUCAUUCAUUAGAGGAUCUUGAAUCACAUUGCUCCCCUUCUUUGUGUGCACCUUUUUCAUCACCUGAAGAUGAUCUGGACGCACUCCUCCAGCCUCUCUAGUCUAUUUAAAAAAACAAAAAACACUUAAAUGUUAUAAUAAAAAGUGAACACGUAUUGUAAAAUCCCAAAAAAAAUAAGAUAAUUUUACCAUUUGGUCUUCUUGACUCAAAAAGCUCGUCAAUCCGGAGUUGUGAACAUAUUGCCCUUUGCCUUUUCGGUCACUCCUUUUGUUUGUGGAAUUAGUCUUCGAUUUCUUCUCCGUCUCGGGGUUUUCCCAAUAUGGGAUGUAGUGUUUCCAGAAAGUGGCAUUCAACCCUUUCGGUUUGCCUUUCCCCUUCCUCCAAUUCUGCUUCCACUCGUACAUGUUUCUUGAGAAUUGCCUAGCACACUCAGCAAGAAACAAGCCCUCCACAUUCUUUGUGCGGUUUGGAUGCCAUGUAAACUCUUGCUGAAAAAAAAAAUAAAUUUCUGAAAUAAUACUAAUUUAAGAAAAAAUUUGAGUAUUGAAUAAAUUGUUUGAAACUUACCGCAAACUGUUUGAACCAUAUGUUUUUCUUUUCGAUAGGGAUGUCAGAAAACGUCUUGUACGGUUUCUUAAGGAGUGAAUGCAGCAUUCUCAAAAUGCACUUGCUAAUCCCGUUGUUCGAAUAUCCAAACUUUUAAGAAAAAAAUCUUGUUAUUUUUAUAAACAUAUUAUCAAAAGAAUAAAAAGAUGAAAAAAUAAUUAAUUACCAAGUCGCAUUUCCACGCCGAAGUGGAUCAAGCGGUGUGCAUAACUCUCGUCCGGGCUCACCGAGUAAAUUGUUAAUACUCGUGUAGAAUGCAUCAGACGACGGAGGAGUAUGAGAAGAAUCUCCAGAACCGCGGAAAUCUCUGGGAUAUCAUCCAACUCCGGAAACUCCGGAUUAUCAUUAGACUCCGGGAUCCGUAUCCAAAUGAGUCCUUGACGAAAAGCUUUCAUUGGUACGUCGUCGCCGGGAUUGAGACGACGUACCAGAUAUAUGACCUUGGUAUUCUCCGUAAUCCCUUUAAAAAAUUUAUCUAAAGUUAAAAACUUAUAAAUUGUAAAAAAAAGACAUUAAAAACAAUUUUUUUUAAGAGAACUUUAAUGUUUUAACAAACAUUUUUGAAAAUUAUACAAAAUAAGUACAAAAUAAAGUUAUAAUAAAAGUUGUUAUAACAACAAUAAUUAUGUUUUAAAAAAAAAACACAUUAUGUAUCAAAAAAAUCAAUUUAAAUAAAAUUUAUAACAAAUUUAUUUCUUAUCUACAAUUAUAGGAGAACACAUUUUUUUUUAUUGAUAAAUUUUUUAAAAAAUCUAUUCUAAAUUAUAAAUAAUUUCUUGUGAAUAUAUUUGUUAGAAUUAGUUGCUUAUAUAUAUAGGAAAUUUCAAAAAUUAACAAAUCUAUUUUUUGCCAAAACUAAUAAUUUUAGAAAUCAAAUAAUUUUACAUAUCUAACAAAUCUUAUAAUUUUUCCAAACUAAAAAUUUUACAAACAUAUAAACCACAAUUAUAAUCUAACAAUUCUAAUUUUUUCUUACAAAUCUACACCUAUCAAAUCUAACUUUUCAAAUCAUGACUUUUCAUCCCACACAACUUACCUUCUCCAGUAUCAACGCAAUUACGCAAGUUAGAUGCAUAUCCAUCAGAAAAUUUAACACUUUCCUUAAUCCAGUCGAAGAAUUCUUCUUUUGAAAGCGCAUUUAAUCGAAAAGCUGGGGGCAAUGAUUUCCCAUUUUCCAUAACAUGCAGUUCUUUACGGGAACAAAUAUAUCAGGUAAGUCUAAUCUUGCCUUCAGAUUAUCUUUAGUCUUCCCUUGCACAUUAAGUACAGUAUUCAUGAUGCUGUCGAAAAAGUAUUUCUCAAUGUGCAUCACAUCUAAAUUAUGCCGAAGUAGAUGGUCUUUCCAAUAUGGAAAAUCAAAGAAAAUACUCUUCUUGUUCCAAUUGUGGUACUCUCCACAUCCUUGAAUAGGAACAUGACCAUUCCCACCACAUGAAACCGUCUUCUCAGCAUCAAAAUCUCUUAAUUGUCGGAUUAUAUCUAAACCUGUAGGCUCUGGAGGUAGAGCAUCAUAAUUUUUUUUAUUCUUCCUAAACAGUGUCGUGCUCCUUCGAUAUGGAUGAUCAGGGGGUAGAAACCGUCGAUGGCAAUCAAACCAAGAAGUUUUUCAUCCGUGUCGUAAUUGGAAUGCAUCAGUGUUAUCUUGACAGUACGGACAUGCUAAUCUUCCGUGAGUAGACCAUCCAGAAAGCAUACCAUAUGCUGGAAAAUCACUUAUCGUCCACAUAAGAACCGCUCGCAUUACAAAAUUUUGUUUUAGAGAAACAUCAUACGCUUCAAUGCCAUAUUUCCAUAGCAGCUUCAACUCAUAAAUUAAUGGCUAUAAGAAAAUAUCAAGAGAUCUCUUGGGGUGCUCUGGUCCAGGAACGAGUAUUGUAAGGAACAAAAACUCUCGUUUCAUGCACAAACUUGGUGGCAAAUUAUAAGGUGUGACAAUUACUGGCCAUAAAGAAUAUUGCCGCCCAUGCUUGCCAAAAAGGUUGAAUCCAUCCGUAGAUAACCCAAGGUAGACAUUCCUUGGCUCAGACGCAAAACUAGGAUAGAGCUCUUGAAAACGUUUCCACGCUUCUGCAUCUGAAGGAUGUGCAAUCUCUCCAUCUGAGUUGUGUUGUGCAUGCCAUCUCAUUGGAGCUGCUGUUCGCUCUGAUUGAUAUAACCUUUUCAGCCUCUCUUUUAUUGGCAAAUACCAGAUCCUUUUAUGUGGAACAGGUACUCUGCUACUUGUUUCCUGAUAUCGCGGUUUAUGACAAAAUUUGUACUUUAAGCGAUGCUCGUUAUUCCUCCAGAAUAUCAUACAAUUGUCGAUGCAGACAUCUAUCAUUUCAUAUGGUAAUCCAAGACCACUUACAAGUUUCUGAAUCUCGUAAUAUGAAACCGGUGAGAUAUUAUCUUCAGGUAAAAUAUCUUUAACAAAAUCAGCUAUUGCAUCCACACAAUCUUCUGCCAGAUUAAAAUCCAUCUUGAUAGUCAUCAACCUGCUUGCAGAGUAUAAAGGCGAUAUGCCCUCUCUACAUCCUCCAUAUAAAGGUUGUUUAGCUGCAUCUAGCAUAUCAAAAAACCUCUGGGCUUCUAAAUUAGGUUCUUCUGUUCUAUUACCAUCCUGAAUAUACGAUGCUACGUUUUCUUGAAAUGCGUCAUUCACCAUCUGAACAAUACUACCUACGUUUACAUCAUUCACCAUCUCAACAUCUGGAGUUGGUUCUUCUAUCACACCAGAAGCACUGCUAUAAUAAUUUACCAUUGAUUCAGUUUCUCCGUGCAUAUACCAAAUCUUGUAUCCUGGCAUAAAUCCAUUCCUAUACAAGUGAUUCCAUAGUCCUCUAACAGAGUAUACUCUGUUAUUGCGACAUGUAAGACAAAGACAAUAGAAUUUAGUAUUUCCAGAGCUCUCACUAUUCUUUGUCGUAAGGGUUAUAAAUUCUUCAAUACCACUCGCAUACUCAUCGGUUAGUUUUCCCGAUGUUGGAUCAAGAUGGGGUUUAUCCAUCCAUGAUCGAAAAUAAUUAUAUGGGUUUGGGUUUGAAGAAGACAUGUUCUUUCACCCUUGAUUUGUAUGUUGGGAAUGAGAAAGAAGAGGUAUUUAUAGCAAAACCUGACUUCAUUUCCGAGCGUAUUCCGACCGAUUUCUGACGAAACUUUAAAACGGCUAGAAACGGCUAGUUCAACGGAUACAACAACGGCUAGAUCUAAUAAUUCCGUCGGAAAUCCGUCGGGAAAGUUGAAAAUUUAAAAAGAAUCAAAUUCCGUCGGAAAUCCGUCGGAAAUCCGUCGGAAAUUUCCGACAGAUUUCCGACGAAAUUGUAUAUUUUUUUGGUUGAAUUUUCAACUUUUUUGAAAUCCGUCGGAAAUCCGUCGGGAAUUUACCGACGGAUUUCUGACAAAACCUUAAAAAACAACCAUUUCAAUAAUCUGUCGGAAAUCGGUCGGGAUUUGCGACCGAUUUCCGUCUAACUUUUUCUCGUCGGUAUUUUUUAGUUUUUCGUCGGGAUUCCGUCGGUAUUUUCCGACGAAAUAUAUUCCGUCAGAAAUUUCGUCAGGAAUCGUAAUGUUUUCUUGUAGUGUAUAUAUGGAUUAUAUUUGAUUACUUCACACAAUUAAUAAGAAAACCCUAAACGGGUGUCUGUCUCGAUUUGUGAUUUUUUUAUCUUUGAUUAUUACUUUCUUUAGUUUGAUUCACAACAAAUGGUAUCAGAGCUCAAGAUUUUCCGCGAAACUAUGCCAUGACGAAGGGAAGUUCUCUAAGUUCGAUGUUCCUAGGUUCGAUGGGAAGGGGAAUUUUUCGGUUUGUGACAAAGUCGAGUUAGGGAUCUGCUGACGCAGCAGGGGAUGAAAAGGCGCUGUUAGAGAAAAAGCCAGACAAGAUUGAAAAAGAUGAUUGAGACAAUAUGCAGGAUCAAGCUGUUUCGACGAUUCGACUUUGUCUCUCUGAUGAUAUUACCAAUCAAGUGAUGAACAUCACGACUUGCAAGAAGAUGUGGGAUAAAUUAGAGAAUGUACAUGUCGAAGUCGUUGUCCAGCUUGCUGUAUCUGAAGCAGAAGUCUUCUUCUAGUUUCAAAUUCAUAAACUAGAAGACCAUUGUUUGAUAUUCCAGUCAAGAAUUUGCAGCUGCAGAGAUAAGGUCCUUCAAUCGUUUCAAUGUUUCAGGAUGAACAUCAAGAUUAACAUUGCAAUGUUUCAAGAUAGGGGUGACGAUUCUGCCAAUGCGUAUAACUAGAUUUUCCCUACUCUUGUUUGUGGACACCCAGAAGUUACAAACCAAAUUCUUAUACGCUACUAAGUUCUAACAUAUUUUAUAUGAGAUUUUAUAAAUAGAAUUACAUGAAUUAAAGUAAAAUACAGAAAUUAUGCAGCAAAAAAAUUAAAAUGUUAGUAUCAACAUUUUAAGAAAAAGAUAACUAAUUGCACAAAAAUUGACCACUAAAGGAAAAAAAAUAGGUAAAAAUAUGUAUUGAACACUAUCCAAACAAUGACCACAAAUAAUUCAGCUAACCACAGACACUUGAAAAUUAAAAUACAGAGCUGUUUUCUCUUGUUACUAUUACGUUUGCUCUAUUUAAGCCAAAUUGUUUCUGUUUUAGUUUUACAUCAUUUAGUAUAAAUUCUCUUUUAUAAUUUCGAAUAUGUUUUUAAGAAAAUAUCCAUAAUUUUUGUUUGAUAUUGCAUAAUUUUUUUUAUUGGGAUGUAAGAAAUAGAAAAAGAUAUAGAAAAAUGUUAAACAGAGACGCAAUGUUUUCAAAAAAUUUUAAAAAAGCUUGAGCUAAUUCCUGAGCUCUUGCUUUGAUCUCACCGAUAUGACUUGUAUUCGGAGAGUUUGAGUUAUCUGACAAAUCAGAACCUGUGUGGAAAAGAUUGGUACUCAUCUCCCUUAUUCUAAGUAACAUAUGGAAGUAGAAGCGAUGAAAGGAUUUUCUUCUAAGUAAAGGGAUAGGAAAUUUUUUGUGAUCCCACUAUUUUACUACGAAAGAAAUGAUCUCACACAGGUUGGAAACGAGGGGUAGAAAAAAUUUCACGUGACGCCAUUAUUAAUUCCCCUACAUCUUUGAUAAAACAAAAAAAGGAAGAAAAAAAAGAGAUGACAAAUGAAUAAGUCUGGGGAGUAAAAAGUACCAAUGGUUAUAUGGUUGGUUUGUCAUGGUAUUGUAUGAGAAUGAGUCUAGAAGGUUCUUGACAUUAAGAUCGUCGAUGAGACCCAACGGUGAUGGCUUUUGGAUUAUUAUGUGAAACUAUGGGUUGAAUCUGGGAGGCUGUGAUGCUUGCGGAAAACUUCAUGGUGGUGAUCUGGGAUUGAUUUUUGUAGCAUGUUAAUCACUAAGUUGAAGGGUCUUUGCAGUGUUCUAGAGAGAAGGUGAGUCUUCGUGUUUUCAAAUUUCUUUUUUGUGCUUGGUUUUCUGUUUGUUUGAAAGGCAAGCAAAACCUUUAAGUCCAAGAUAGUUGAUGUGUUGCAUUCUAUCCCAAGUUUUCAAGUUUUUUCGAGUCUUUUAGGUUUGUUAGAGUCAAUUCAGGUCAAACAGCAUUAUAAGACAGAGUUUGAAGACUUAGGAGCGGAAUACGGCGAAAAAGCAGGAAAAAGAAAAAAAAGCGACCGAUGUCAAUCAUACAAACAAAAAGAAAAACUAAUUUAACUAGUACUUGCCUUUUCUGUUUUUGUUUUUGAUGCAAGGCUUGCCAUCUUAAAAAUCGCAUAACAAGACAUUCUUCUUAAACCCUUUUUUCCUUAAUCGGUUAAUAUCUCUUUGCUGUUGGAGAAAAAGAGAAUAUAACCAUCGAAAUAUUAUAUUUGUAAACGCUUUGAAUCGAUAAUGCUUAUUUAACCUUUUUCUCUUUUUGGGUUUGUAUUGUCUCCUCCAGCCCAACAACCUCGAGUUGCCACCGGAUACUAUGUACGGCGGACAUAAUUGGACAGUGUCCGAACGUGUUAAGAGCACCAGGUGGUUGCAACAACCCGUGCACCGUUUUUCAGACGAACCAGUACUGUUGUACGAAUGGGCAAGGAUCAUGUAGCGACACAGAAUAUUCAAGGUUCUUCAAACAGAGGUGUCCGGAUGCCUACAGUUAUCCACAAGACGACCCGCCCAGCACUUUCACUUGCACUAACACUAACUACAGGGUCGUGUUUUGUCCUAGGAUUAGACUCGAUACUACUGGGAGCAUAUAUAUAUUAAGAGACUCGUCUCUAUUGUAUGUGAUGUGUGUAUGAGCGUGUACUAGUGUGUACGUAGUAACGUAGAUAUAUAUGCGUACGCGUGUGAUAAUGUUUACGUGACUAUCAAACUUGAUGGAUAAUAAUGAAUGCAAGAAUAAGUUGGACUUUUGCUAACGGUUAAUUAGGGAUAAAACUCUCAGUUUGAUUAGGAUUUUAAAUGGCAGUAGCUUUUAGUUUUUGUUGUAGGAUUUUAAAUAUUAAAACUCGAGUAAUAGAGAUGUUUUUUGGUGUAGAGAGUAAAAAUUUGAUUGAUCAAACUAGCAUAACAUUAGCAAAAAACGUUAAAUCAAUAAGAAAUUAUUUUUUUUUCCAGAUUUUUUUGUUUGGUGUAGAGAUAGUAAAGAAUAGAUAGAACAAGCUAGCAAAAUAUUAGCGAAAAAUGCUCUAAAGAUAAGACAAACUUCUUUUUAAUUUCUUACUAUGUUUCUCGAAGUUAAUAUGAAGUUGUUUUUCCAAUCCUCUUUUUCCGAAAUGAAAUCUUUACAAUUUUUGUCUUUUUGGGUAGAGAUUGUUAAGAUAUCAGCAAAAUGAAGUUAAAAAGAAGAAUUUUCGGAUUACCAAUAAUAGCUUUUGUUUGAGAUUUAAAGAUAACAUCUCAAUUUUUGUUAGGUAGAAUUUGCAUGGAAGCCUAAUGAGCUCAUUAAUUAGGUGUGCUCUCUCCCUUGUCGUGAAUGUGAAUAUGUGAUUGGUGUCAGAUUGCGAGUAGAUUCAAUUCGUGCGAAGGUAUACGAAAAUAUACAUAGAUAAAAAAAUCCCUACUUUAAUAAUGGAGUUGAUUGACUAAGGUAUACGAAAAUAUACAUAGUAAAAAAAAUCCCUACUUUAAUAAUGGAGUUGAUUGACUAAUAAUAGAUUCUUACUCGGUUCAAUUUUUUAUUGCGUGCGAAAAACUAUGUAGACCGAUUCGUGCAGCUAGGAGAAAAACCCGUUGAGUAAAACUAAUUAUUUUGGCGUCGUUAUCGCUGUAGAUUUGUAGAACCUUAGACGUCUUUGACUUGAGUUUAACUUUUUUGAUAUGCAUGAUUGCAUGGGUCUCCAAAUAAUCAAUCAAAAACUAGGCAUAUAAGCAUAAUUCCAUUAUAUAACAAACACAUUUUUAAAAAUCACAGAAGUACAGUUGUAUGGUAUAAACUUGAAUUUUUGAAAGCAUUUAUGAAAAAAAAAGAGAGAUAUAAAGCUGGAAAGUAGAAGAGCGUUUUCUCAUUCUUCAAAAACGUUAAUACAUUUCCAUAUAUACAUGUGCUAAACUGUUAAACCUAGUUAUACAAGAUAACUAAAUUUAUGCAUAAUUAAUAGCCCAAUAAAAUAUUGUAUGGCCCAAUAUUAUGAUACUCUACCCCUUUACAAGUUGGAGCAUGCAUGUAGAUUAAAUAUGUCCAACUUGCAUAGAAACCAAUCAAAUUCCUAGCCCAAUUAAUGUUUUGAGAAUAUAUCAGCUAAAUGAAGAAGAGAGGGAACAAUAAUUACCUAAUACACUUUUACUAUAUAAGAUCAUAUCACUGAAAGCUAUCAAGGAGACAAUACCACCAAUUUCCAAGUAAACAAACUGACAAGAACUGUAGUAUAGUUGAAGUAAGCGAGAAGUUCAUAUACCCGCUUCCAACCUGAAUGGAUAAUAUGUGAUUAUAUCACAUUUCAAUAAUCUAGAUUUAAAUUAUCUAUAAGAUUUUAAAAUGUAAAAUUGAUUUUUGGUCCAAUUUUAUUAUUCAUUGUUAUACUAAAUCUAAAACUUGAUCCAAGUCUAGAGUCUCUGUAAAAGCAUCCUAUAAUCUCAUCAUCCUUUUAGUUAAUGUGUUAUUCAUAUAUAGUUUUUCAUAGUUUGAAGGUGAAUUUUACUUUCUUUAGUUUCUUUUUUCUUAUAGAUAUUAUAGUAUUGGAAUAGUCCUAAGCAUAUUUUCAUUCUUUACGACAACAAAAUCAGGUAUUUCCAUGAUUAAACAAUUUCUGAAAAUAUGACUGAUUGAAAAAGACAUGCGCCAAAAUUUAGUUUAUGAUUAUUUGUAUUGAAAAUCAAAAUGAAAACAAAUUUUAAAAAACCAAAUUUGGAUCUAUGAAAUUAUUUGAAAAUACCAUGAAAUUUGUUUAAGGGAUAAAUUCCAAAUAUUCAUUCAUCCAACUUGUUAUUAAUGAACUCGGUUACCCAAAAAUUCCGAUGCACAUAUAAGAUGAAUCAUAGAUCGGAUACUUCGAAUAAUUAAGUAAGCAUAUCCCUAAAAUGUUAAGUAAGACAAAUUAACUAUAUCCUACUCUCAAAUAUUGGAAAAUUGGUACUCCUGGUCUCCGUAGCGAAUGCGAAUGAUGCUCAAUUGCUCAUCCAAAUUGAUAAAUUAAAAAAAUUGAAAUGCAACAAACGGUUGAUCGCAGUGCUAUUGUAAUUGGAGAUGGUCUUCAUUAGGUGCAUGAUGUGCCUUUGCUACACUAAUUCGAUUAUGGUCCAUGGCGAGAUAUUUUUGGAUGCUUUGACAACUUUGUGAAAAUUUGUCGUCUAUCAUUGUUUUGCUAUUUAUUUAAGUCAUUGCCUUUGUGAAGUCAAGUCUUCGUUUCUCAUUAAUCAUCAUGAGAUCCAUGAACCUAGCUUUUCCACUUGUUUGAAUCAGACAAAAGCUAAGCAAAAACAAGUUGGGUUAGGAUAAAAUAAGGGUUUUGUCUGGGAGACUUGUAAAGGGGAAGCAGUCCGACGUAGGAAGAAAUCCUCUGUCAUUUUAGGGUUUAGUCGAAGAAAAAUAACUAAAUAUAUAGUUUCCAAUGAUUGAAUUAUGUUUUUAAUGGCAUUUUUGUAGUUUAAAAAAGACUAGGCUUUGUUCAGAGUUUUUCUACUGGGGUUUUAAAUAAGAUUGUUUCAAAUUCUAUGUGAAUACCCUCAGAUGCAAUAGAUUAUAAACCUAUUAACAAUUUUAGCAAUAGAUUUUCUUUUUUCUUAAGGUCAACUUGGUAAGUCAAUACAGAGAAAAAAGAAAAGAAAUGAGACAAAUAUGGAAAUGAGGAGUAAGGAAAAUAGAAAAAUUCAUUAAAAAAAAAUUAGAAGUCUAAAACAUGAAAAAGUACCAUCGAGUCUAAUUAUAUGGGAUAUUUGAUCAAGUCUAAACCACUAGAUUACACUAAUUUGAAAAAUCUUAGGUAAACCAUUUAUUAACUCCAAUUUUAUUUUUCUGGUACCACAAACAAUUACAUCCUCAAAACUGUAUGAAAUUCGAUUACUUGUUUGCCAAGAAUAUAUAUUAAAAAGUAGACAUGUAAUAAAGAUUUUGGUCACCCAACUUGGAGGCAAAAGCCUACCAGUAAGUUGUAACAGUUAAGGAGUUAUGUAUUGGUUAAUUUGUUACUUUUUAAUUAAUAUUUUGCAUUUUUGAAGUUACGUAAUAAUAAAUGCUAUUUCGCUUUUUUCAUUAAAAAAAACAAUGGAUGGGACGACAGGCGACUUGACUAUGUUACUAACGGAAAGUCUUGUUUCUAGAUAUGUACUAUGUAGACAUUAUAAUGUUAACGUAAGAAAAAAUUAAGUACGUAUAGGGGGACUUAAGAAGAAUAUAGAAAUGUGUGUACAUUUUUUCCUUUUCUGCUAACAAAGAAGUUACAUAUCUAUACAUAAGCUUCAUUAUUGUGAAAGCUUUUUUGGCCUAAUGGAGUUUAUUAAUGUUUUUAAGUUUCCAAACUAAAUAAAUAUGAUUUAUUAUCAGUUCUGCAGAUUAAUGGAGAAAAACGUAUGAAAAAACUUCAAUAUGGUGUAAGUGGAACUAUUUAGCGUAGAGGUUCAUAAUCAUCAGUAUAGCAAUUCUCGUUAUAAUAAUAAGAUAAUAAUUUAAUGAUAAAAAAGCUCUUAUUAUUUUAUUUUAUUUUUAUUUUUAGUACAACUCCUAUUAUUUUUUGUUUGGGAUCAGCCUCUAAUAGUACUCUUUGGAGGUAAAUCAUCAUUUACAAAACAGAUCGAACUUAAUAGGGAAACAAAGUUGAAAUUUCUUUGGAAGGACGAAUUUACUGCCACUAGCCGACUUCCUAGUUGGUGAAGACUAAAGACUAGGUGUGAACAUUUAAAGGCCCACAUUUAAAUGAAUUAUGUGAUAUAAUUUCAAAGACGACCCAAAGAAUUAUGCCUUUCAAGUUUCAACUAUUACUUAGCAAAUAUACAAAUGAUGUACAACUUGAAUGUCCACAUCCAUUUAGGCAGACGUCAGUACGAACAGAUUUUGUGGCAAUCCAGAUUUACCAAUAAAAAUAUCUCCAGUUCUUCAUAGUACAUAUCUAGAAACAAGACUUUUCGUUAGUAACAUAGUCAAGUCGCCCCAUCCAUUCUUUAACCAAAAAAAGUCGCCCCAUCUAUCAUUUUAUAUUUAUAAAAAUGAUUAAAGCAAAAUAACAUUUAUUAUCAUAUAACUUCAAUCAUUCAAACUACUAAUAAAAAAAUAAAACAAACUUACCAAUACAUAACUCAUAAAAAGGAACCGUUUUUUUCUCCUAACAAACAUAUUGUUUUUUUUACAAAAAAACCUUUUUUAAAAAAGAUUUAGAACUGUCUCUUUUUCGGUUGAUUAAAUCAUCUGAAAAUUUACUAUUUGCAAUAAAAGUGAGGGAAAAAGAAUUCUAUUCACUUUGUUGAAGGAAAAUAAUCCUCUACUAGAUCAUAUUCUUGUAAUUAAUUGUAGAGGAACAUGUGGAGUAAAGAAAAUCGUCUCGUAGAAGUACUAGAACUAUCAUAAACAUUUAAAAAUAUAAUGGACUCUGACAUUCGUUUACAGAAUGGAAAACUUUGGUCAUAAAAUAGCCUUUAAUUAUUAAACACUGAUUACGUGGAUUAAAUAACGGUAAAUAACUAAAAAAAGAAAGAAAAAAAGAGGAGGGACUUAAAGAAAAAUGAGUGUAGUCACUAGUCAGAAAGAAAUUAUACUUCAGUCAUUUGAUGAUAUAUCUAGUAAAUAUAAUCAAAUUAUGUAAAUUUUAAUAGGGUGGUACGCCAGGACCGCCAUUGGCUACCUCUAUAUAAAGCUAUAGUGUAUGUUUACAAAAGAUCACACACACAAGUAGUAAAACAAAACAAAAAAUGGCAAACAUUAUCUCACUCUCGGCGUUCAUCAUCUCCAUCUUUUUCCUCAUCUCCACCGCUAAAGCCGUCAGAUUCGACAUCCUGAACCAAUGUGGUUACACCGUUUGGGCCGCCGCCAGCCCUGGAGGUGGCCGGCGUCUAGAUCCUGGCCAGUCAUGGCCACUAGAUGUUGCGGCUGGCACACGUAUGGCACGUAUUUGGGGUCGGACAAAAUGUAAUUUUGACUCUUCGGGACGUGGCCGAUGCGAAACCGGUGAUUGCACUGGUGGACUUCAAUGCACCGGUUGGGGCCAGCCACCAAACACGUUGGCUGAGUACGCUUUGAACCAAUUUAACAACAUGGACUUCUACG